Molecule: long non-coding RNA, 1901 nt
Organism: Oncorhynchus kisutch (coho salmon)
Lineage: Eukaryota; Metazoa; Chordata; Actinopteri; Salmoniformes; Salmonidae
Source: Ensembl
CUAGCAGCAACUUUAUAACUCAGGUCAAGAACUGCUGCGCUGUGUUCACACACCUUUCAGGAAGACACAACUCUGUAAUAAUCAAGGGUUUUAUCUCCGAUGUGUCCAUUUGUCAACUGGACCUCCAAAGGCGAGUUCAUUUGAGGUCAGACAGGACAUUUAAGAGGAUGCAGGCAGCUCACCACAGAGGAAACUCGGCUCCAGAGAGGAACUGUACCCCUCCCUCCCACUGCUGAGGAGAACACAAGCCAGCCAGCUAGCAGAAACCUUAAUUCAGGUCAAGCACUGCUCUGCUGUGUUCACACAGCUUCCAGGAAGACACAACUCUGGCCAUAUAAGAGGAGGCAGGCAGCUCACCACAGAGGAAACUCGGCUCCAGAGAGGAACUGUACCCCUCCCUCCCACUGCUGAGGAGAACACAAGCCAGCCAGCUAGCAGAAACCUUAACUCAGGUCAAGCACUGCUCUGCUGUGACACAGACUUGAUAGAGGAUGGAGUAAAUGGAUAAGGCGGAUAUAUUGUAGGUCAUGCUGCUUCCUACUUCCUGUUCUCCCAGGGAAAUCAUGUCUCUGCCUGCUGUGAUGUCUAUAGAGAGGGUCAAAACAACACUGACCUGUUUUUAUUUGGGAUUCCUCUCUUCCAUGUAAAACAACUCAUGUAAAGUCUAUUGUUGGAAGUCAAGUGACCUCGCUCUGUGCUCUGCACAAUCUUGUUUCUUUGAUAUGAUAACGUUAUUUGAUCAGUGUUUUCUUCUAACAUGAAUUGAUUAUUGUUCAAUUUCUUUCAAAUGUAACAUUUACAAUUGCUGUUAUGAACCAUCUUUGUCAUGAUAACACAUAUCCCCACCAACCAAGGUGAUCAUGGUUAUUUUGAAAAUAAAUCCAAAAACCAUUCAAAGAAAAGUACAAAUCCAGCAUCAAAAUUCAGUUGGGCAUAAUAUAUAAUUAGGGUUAGAUUAAAGUAAGGUAGUAACCUGGUGUGAGGUGAUUUUUACAUGUUUAAGUCUGCCCUCUGUUGGUUCAACAAUAUAUUGCUAUAAUGCAAUGUGUACAAUUGACAAGGUGCACCAUUCAAUGAUGAUGACAUAUUCAUAAUGUAGCUGUUUCAAUCUAGAAUAACAAAAUUAACAGUGUCAGUAAACUAGGAAUCAUAUUUAUUUAGAAUUUGACAAAGAUUUACAGAAUCAGUCCUUUGGUGGAAAAAGUGGGACAAUAUAUUAGAUGCAAUUUGAAUAGCAACAGAAAUGUAUAUUAUCUAUACAAAACCCAAUUUCAACAGUGAAUGUAUCACAUAUCCCAUAGAAAUCCAUGGAAAUGUAGACAAUCUAGACAAUGUUGCAGAUGUAAAGCCCUUUGCUGAAUAACAAGUAACUUAAUUUUGACCAUACAGCUCAAACAACUUCACAUCUGGAGAUCUGGAGAAGGUGAAGAUGUGUGGUGUGAAUUGGAGAGCUUCAGAUGUUGUGUGUGUGUAACAGAUGGUGGCAGUCUUACGGUAGACUAACAGAGCAGGCGGAGUGAGCACAGAUCUCACAAGGAUCUGGAGGCGUGAUGGCAUCCGCUGGAGAGAGACAGCAAACACAUAAGGUUUCGGUGCCGUUUGAGAAGUGUAACUUGGUAAAAAAGAAAGAAAAAUAAUGUCACUUAAUUUUAACAUUCUGUCUUAAAGAGCACAUGUUCAACAUCAUCUCAUAAGGUUAAAUAAAAUGACUGUAGUAAGUGCCUAUUAAGUGACAAAUAAAGUAACAGGGUUGACCGUAACAGGGUUGACCGUAACAGGGUUGAUGAUUUCAUCUUAAAUCAGCCAUAAAUUCCCUUGUGACAGGGGGAAUGGAAGCUUGUUUUGUGCAACAUGGGAGGCAAUUGAAUGCAAGCUUCACAAAAACAUUUUAAUUGCUAAAA